RNAcentral lists this ribosomal RNA (166 nucleotides) under uncultured bacterium. RNAcentral describes it as "partial 16S rRNA". It matches the Rfam family "Bacterial small subunit ribosomal RNA", at positions 355 to 511 of the family's 1533-position model. The record is from RNAcentral.
UAGGGAAUCUUCGGCAAUGGGGGCAACCCUGACCGAGCAACGCCGCGUGAGUGAAGAAGGUUUUCGGAUCGUAAAGCUCUGUUGUAAGAGAAGAACGUGUGUGAGAGUGGAAAGUUCACACAGUGACGGUAACUUACCAGAAAGGGACGGUCUAACUACGUGCUAG